GGGGGAGGGCACCGGAGGCAGGUGCCGGGCGCAGGCCCAGCGCGGCGUUAGUAGAGACGCGCCGGGUGCCAGCCCCUCGCCGCGCGCCGCACCUUAAAUUGUUGACAAAGUGCUCCCACUUUGUGGCUGGAGCCGUGCGACCUUGGCGCGGGUCCCCGAGUGGCGGGCUGGAAAACCUGGAGGCCAGAGCCGUUCGCGGACUCGCCCGAGCCCAGCCAGCCAGUGGGGAGAGGCAGGACGCGGACUCCGCGUGCUUUGAUUGCGCCCGGCAGUCCUCGGCGUGGGCUCCCGGCCUCGCAGCGGCAGCUGCAGCUGCAGCGGCACGCGAGAGCUGUCAAAUGCACGUUCUCGGACCCCACCCGGACCCACGGAAUCCGAAUCUCUGGGUGGGUCCGCGCAACUGUGGAGUGGCCCUCCGGGUGAUGAAAACCGUGAGGACAUACUGAAUGCCGGCGACAAAUUAACAGAGGUCCUUGAAGAGGCUAACACUCUGUUUAAUGAAGUGUCCCGAGCAAGAGAAGCAGUCCUGGAUGCCCACUUUCUUGUUUUGGCUUCAGAUUUGGGCAAAGAGAAAGCAAAGCAGCUGCGCUCAGACCUGAGCUCCUUUGACAUGUUAAGAUAUGUUGAAACUCUACUCACACAUAUGGGUGUAAAUCCGCUAGAAGCUGAAGAACUCAUCCGUGAUGAAGAUAGUCCUGAUUUUGAAUUCAUAGUCUAUGACUCCUGGAAAAUAUCAGGCAAAACAGCAGAAAACACCUUUAAUAAAACCCAUACAUUCCACUUUCUGUUGGGUUCAAUAUACGGAGAGUGCCCUGUGCCAAAGCCACGA
Molecule: small RNA, 829 nt
Filed under: Pongo abelii (Sumatran orangutan)
Lineage: Eukaryota; Metazoa; Chordata; Mammalia; Primates; Hominidae
Description: processed transcript
Source: RNAcentral